Molecule: ribosomal RNA, 253 nt
Filed under: uncultured bacterium
Lineage: Bacteria
Description: partial 16S ribosomal RNA
Rfam family: Bacterial small subunit ribosomal RNA
Source: RNAcentral
UACGUAGGGUGCAAGCGUUAAUCGGAAUUACUGGGCGUAAAGCGUGCGCAGGCGGUGAUGUAAGACAGGUGUGAAAUCCCCGGGCUUAACCUGGGAACUGCGUUUCUAACUGGCAGGCUUGAGUGUGGCAGAGGGGGGUGGAAUUCCACGUGUAGCAGUGAAAUGCGUAGAGAUGUGGAGGAACACCGAUGGCGAAGGCAGCCCCCUGGGCUAACACUGACGCUGAGGAGCGAAAGUGUGGGGAGCGAACAGG